RNAcentral lists this ribosomal RNA (301 nucleotides) under uncultured bacterium. RNAcentral's name for it is "partial 16S ribosomal RNA". It matches the Rfam family "Bacterial small subunit ribosomal RNA", at positions 509 to 809 of the family's 1533-position model. The record is from RNAcentral.
CAGUAGCCGCGGGAAUACGUAGGUGGCAAGCGUUGUCCGGAAUUAUUGGGCGUAAAGGGCUCGCAGGCGGUUUCUUAAGUCUGAUGUGAAAGCCCCCGGCUCAACCGGGGAGGGUUAUUGGAAACUGGGAAACUUGAGUGCAGAAGAGGAGAGUGGAAUUCCACGUGUAGCGGUGAAAUGCGUAGAGAUGUGGAGGAACACCAGUGGCGAAGGCGGCUCUCUGGUCUGUAACUGACGCUGAGGAGCGAAAGCGUGGGGAGCGAACAGGAUUAGAGACCCGUGUAGUCCCUGUCUCUUAUAA